RNAcentral lists this small RNA (919 nucleotides) under Histoplasma ohiense. RNAcentral describes it as "hypothetical lncRNA". The record is from RNAcentral. Lineage: Eukaryota; Fungi; Ascomycota; Eurotiomycetes; Onygenales; Ajellomycetaceae.
AUCUAUCUAUCUAUCUCCCUCCCUCCCUCCUCCCUACCAGCCAAGCGGCCUGCUCAAUAUCCAAUCAAUCUCUAUGGGAAUAAACAUCGCCAUCUAGAUACCCAUCUCUCUAUCAAUGCUAGCUUACUAGCUGAUUAUCUAUCUUGUAAUAUAUAUAUAUAUAUAUAUAUGAAGUCAAUAGAGCUCAGGCUCACACUCACUUCUGAUUCCAGCUGUUCCGACCUACUUCUCUAAGUUACACUUCAUUCAUUCAAAAGAGUGUCUCUCACUAGAUGAUUGUUCCAGUUACCUGAGAGAUAGAUAUGUUGAGCUCACAAUCACAAGUUUUCAAUUUUGCAGUCAAUGGUUGAAGCAAGGCACAUCUGUGGAGGCGGGCCAUGCCAUCAACAUCUGACAGUCUACACGUCGCGUCGGGCAAGGGGCCCUGGACCUUCUUCAUCUACGAUUCUUCGUUAACGGUCACUGAUGCCGGUAGGCGAUUGUGAGAAUGAGGGGGAAAAAUCGGAGAUUUGAUCUGUAUGGUUAGUGGUUAAGGAGAAAAUGUGAUUGCUCUGCAAUACAUCCUGUGCGCCAUCGGCGAGUUUCUAGGUAGAGUUGCGGGGUCACAUCACCAGACUUCUGCCGAUGUAUCCCGGUUUACGGGGUGUGGAGAGAGGGUGGUUGGUUUGGCCCCUCUCAAUUUUUCUCCAUCUUUUGUGAUAAAUAUAUAUAUAUAUAUAUUUUGGUUCUUGAGCGAUGUAAAUUCAAUUGAAGAUUUUUUUUUUGUUUCUUUUUUUGACGAAUAUAUCGAUGGUUUCUUUUAGCGGAGCGAUUAUAACUGGAGGGUUUGCAUUGCGAUGUAUGUACAUGUACCUUUAUAUGCGAUGGAAGACUGGGAUGUGGCGGAUGUUGGAUACUUUCGUGAAACGCGAAUGGUGUG